GAUAAACGCUGGCGGCGUGCAUAACACAUGCAAGUCGAACGAUGAAGAUUAAAAGAUUUCUUCGGAAUGAACUUAAUUGGAUUAGUGGCGGACGGGUGAGUAACGCGUGAGUAACCUGCCUUGUACAAGGGGAUAGCCGUUGGAAACGACGAAUAAUACCCUAUGACAUCAAAUAAUCGCAUGAUAAUUUGAUCAAAGAUUUAUCGGUAUAAGAUGGACUCGCGUCUGAUUAGCUAGUUGGUAGAGUAAAAGCCUACCAAGGCAACGAUCAGUAGCCGGCUUGAGAGAGUGUACGGCCACAUUGGGACUGAGACACGGCCCAGACUCCUACGGGAGGCAGCAGUGGGGAAUUUUGCACAAUGGGGGAAACCCUGAUGCAGCGACGCCGCGUGAUUUAGAAGGCCUUCGAGUUGUAAAAAUCUUUUGUAUGGGAAGAAAAUGACAGUACCAUACGAAUAAGGACCGGCUAAUUACGUG
Molecule: ribosomal RNA, 477 nt
Filed under: uncultured bacterium
Lineage: Bacteria
Description: partial 16S ribosomal RNA
Rfam family: Bacterial small subunit ribosomal RNA
Source: RNAcentral